Molecule: ribosomal RNA, 615 nt
Filed under: uncultured Bacilli bacterium
Lineage: Bacteria; Bacillati; Bacillota; Bacilli
Description: bacterial SSU rRNA
Rfam family: Bacterial small subunit ribosomal RNA
Source: RNAcentral
CAGAAGGGGAUAACACUUGGAAACAGGUGCUAAUACCGUAUAACAAUCGAAACCGCAUGGUUUUGAUUUGAAAGGCGCUUUCGGGUGUCGCUGAUGGAUGGACCCGCGGUGCAUUAGCUAGUUGGUGAGGUAACGGCUCACCAAGGCCACGAUGCAUAGCCGACCUGAGAGGGUGAUCGGCCACAUUGGGACUGAGACACGGCCCAAACUCCUACGGGAGGCAGCAGUAGGGAAUCUUCGGCAAUGGACGAAAGUCUGACCGAGCAACGCCGCGUGAGUGAAGAAGGUUUUCGGAUCGUAAAACUCUGUUGUUAGAGAAGAACAAGGAUGAGAGUAACUGUUCAUCCCUUGACGGUAUCUAACCAGAAAGCCACGGCUAACUACGUGCCAGCAGCCGCGGUAAUACGUAGGUGGCAAGCGUUGUCCGGAUUUAUUGGGCGUAAAGCGAGCGCAGGCGGUUUCUUAAGUCUGAUGUGAAAGCCCCCGGCUCAACCGGGGAGGGUCAUUGGAAACUGGGAGACUUGAGUGCAGAAGAGGAGAGUGGAAUUCCAUGUGUAGCGGUGAAAUGCGUAGAUAUAUGGAGGAACACCAGUGGCGAAGGCGGCUCUCUGGUCU